Molecule: ribosomal RNA, 468 nt
Filed under: uncultured bacterium
Lineage: Bacteria
Description: partial 16S ribosomal RNA
Rfam family: Bacterial small subunit ribosomal RNA
Source: RNAcentral
GACGAACGCUGGCGGCGUGCUUAACACAUGCAAGUCGAACGGAAAGGCCCUGCUUUUGUGGGGUGCUCGAGUGGCGAACGGGUGAGUAACACGUGAGUAACCUGCCCUUGACUUUGGGAUAACUUCAGGAAACUGGGGCUAAUACCGGAUAGGAGCUCCUGCUGCAUGGUGGGGGUUGGAAAGUUUCGGCGGUUGGGGAUGGACUCGCGGCUUAUCAGCUUGUUGGUGGGGUAGUGGCUUACCAAGGCUUUGACGGGUAGGCGGCCUGAGAGGGUGACCGGCCACAUUGGGACUGAGAUACGGCCCAGACUCCUACGGGAGGCAGCAGUGGGGAAUAUUGGACCAUGGGCGGAAGCCUGAUGCAGCAACGCCGCGUGCGGGAUGACGGCCUUCGGGUUGUAAACCGCUUUCGCCUGUGACGAAGCGUGAGUGACGGUAAUGGGUAAAGAAGCACCGGCUAACUACGUG